Molecule: ribosomal RNA, 157 nt
Filed under: uncultured bacterium
Lineage: Bacteria
Description: partial 16S ribosomal RNA
Rfam family: Bacterial small subunit ribosomal RNA
Source: RNAcentral
CAGGUCAGCAUACUGCCGUGAAUACGUUCCCGGGCCCUUGUACACACCGCCCGUCACACCAUGAGAGUUGGAAAUACCCGAAGCCUGUGAGCUAACAGUAAUGAGGCAGCAGUCGAAGGUAGAGCCAAUGAUUGGGGUGAAGUCGUAACAAGGUACC